RNAcentral lists this ribosomal RNA (207 nucleotides) under uncultured bacterium. RNAcentral's name for it is "partial 16S ribosomal RNA". It matches the Rfam family "Bacterial small subunit ribosomal RNA", at positions 568 to 774 of the family's 1533-position model. The record is from RNAcentral.
CACGUAGGCGGACCAUUAAGUCAGGGGUGAAAGCCUGGAGCUCAACUCCAGAACUGCCUUUGAUACUGAUGGUCUCGAGUAUGGAAGAGGUUGGUGGAACUGCGAGUGUAGAAGUGAAAUUCGUAGAUAUUCGCAAGAACACCAGUGGCGAAGGCGGCCAACUGGUCCAUUACUGACGCUGAGGUGCGAAAGCGUGGGGAGCAAACA